Ruditapes philippinarum (Manila clam) is the source of this 1413-nucleotide long non-coding RNA. RefSeq lists it as uncharacterized. Lineage: Eukaryota; Metazoa; Mollusca; Bivalvia; Venerida; Veneridae. The transcript is spliced from 3 exons. The record is from RefSeq and is a predicted model, not a curated record.
UAUUUAUAUUGUAGUGAUGAUGCACUAUGUACAAAUCUAAAAUAAAAUUCUGUUCUGUUCUUUACAAAGUUUUAUAUCUUAUGUUUUAAUUAUUUUUAUUCUAUCAUACUAGACAAUUUGAAUAAGUCUAAUAAUCUAAUGUCAAAAUGCAAUAGAUUUCACUUAUCAAAAUGGUUUUAAAACACAAAAUUUACUUAAAUACUAAGAUGACAUAUUCAAAGAGAAAAUUAAAAUGAGGUGUUAACAGACCAGACUUCAAAAUUGCAUUUGAUAUAGAUUUUAAUCAUAUCUUUUCCGAUCCUAAACCAUUUUAUUCUUAUUAUAACAUAUUAAAUUUGCUUCAAUUGUUUUCUUUCUAAAUGUUGUGUAGCUUGAUAAUCUACCCUCAUGAUACCAGUGCCAGUUGUAUGUAUAUUUUAAGUAAUGUUUUCCAUGUUGUUGUCAGCAUUUAUAGAACAGUUGUUGUAUAAUUAGUUAGAAGAUGGAUAGACACGUGACUUCUACACAAGGGGUAAUGGGAUGUGAGAGAAAAAUGGCUUUUUACGUAGAUAUAUCUUAUUGAAUGAAUGAAAACAAAACAAUUGGGUGUCUUUCAUAGGAAGGGCUAAACAUAGUAUGGGAUGGUUGAUUGCAGAAGACAAUAUUUAGCGAGAGUCCAGCCUUUUAUAUUUUGGCGAACAUAAAUCAAUCCGUUGAUUGGAUGUGGCAAGAAUUUUCCAUAUUUCCAAGUUAGGAGAGGCUAAAUGGGUUCUGUUUGAAAAGAUCCAGCAUUUUUGAAAAGCAAUUAACAGAUGCGAAACAAUGUGUCUCUGUGAAAAGGGCAGGCUAAAGGUUUCAACAGCACCGGCCGAAAAAGUGGAGAUAUAAUUUCAGCAUUGAACAAGGGCAGGGCAAUAUGUAUAUAUACAUGUGUAGCGUUGUCAGACUAUAUGGAUAGUCGGGCCUCGGUGACAAAAAUGAUGAAAUAACAUUGUGUUUUUUCAGUGUCUUAACAUUCAGAAGAUUCAUUUUAUUUUAAAAUGUCUUUUUACAAUAUUUUUUUUACAAACUUUCCAUGGUAAAGUAAGUGCAAUUUAGCAUUGGUAAGAUAUUUACUUGAAGGAUUGAUUUUCAGAACAGAAAUGCAAAUACAAUGUAUAUAAAUAAUUAUUCGUGUAAAAUGUAUUGCAAUUUUGAAUUAUAAUAUGAAUUUAGAUAGUUUCAUACAACUUUAUUCUUGGUAGAGGCUGAGCUAACUUGUAAGAAUAUUUAAUGGAAUCUGACUGAAAGUAAAAAAAAUAUUUAUCAUUAGUGGGUGGGGUAAUGUUUUAUACCAGUCUAAAUGAUGAUGUAUAGAUUAUGCAGUGUUGCGACUUUUUGAAUGUAAUCAACAUUGCUUGAAGUGUUUUUGAUUAAAUAAAGCAUGUUUGCGUA